Molecule: ribosomal RNA, 2929 nt
Filed under: Escherichia coli
Lineage: Bacteria; Pseudomonadati; Pseudomonadota; Gammaproteobacteria; Enterobacterales; Enterobacteriaceae
Description: bacterial LSU rRNA
Rfam family: Bacterial large subunit ribosomal RNA
Source: RNAcentral
GGGUUGUGAGGUUAAGCGACUAAGCGUACACGGUGGAUGCCCUGGCAGUCAGAGGCGAUGAAGGACGUGCUAAUCUGCGAUAAGCGUCGGUAAGGUGAUAUGAACCGUUAUAACCGGCGAUUUCCGAAUGGGGAAACCCAGUGUGAUUCGUCACACUAUCAUUAACUGAAUCCAUAGGUUAAUGAGGCGAACCGGGGGAACUGAAACAUCUAAGUACCCCGAGGAAAAGAAAUCAACCGAGAUUCCCCCAGUAGCGGCGAGCGAACGGGGAGGAGCCCAGAGCCUGAAUCAGUGUGUGUGUUAGUGGAAGCGUCUGGAAAGGCGCGCGAUACAGGGUGACAGCCCCGUACACAAAAAUGCACAUGCUGUGAGCUCGAUGAGUAGGGCGGGACACGUGGUAUCCUGUCUGAAUAUGGGGGGACCAUCCUCCAAGGCUAAAUACUCCUGACUGACCGAUAGUGAACCAGUACCGUGAGGGAAAGGCGAAAAGAACCCCGGCGAGGGGAGUGAAAAAGAACCUGAAACCGUGUACGUACAAGCAGUGGGAGCCUCUUUAUGGGGUGACUGCGUACCUUUUGUAUAAUGGGUCAGCGACUUAUAUUCUGUAGCAAGGUUAACCGAAUAGGGGAGCCGAAGGGAAACCGAGUCUUAACUGGGCGUUAAGUUGCAGGGUAUAGACCCGAAACCCGGUGAUCUAGCCAUGGGCAGGUUGAAGGUUGGGUAACACUAACUGGAGGACCGAACCGACUAAUGUUGAAAAAUUAGCGGAUGACUUGUGGCUGGGGGUGAAAGGCCAAUCAAACCGGGAGAUAGCUGGUUCUCCCCGAAAGCUAUUUAGGUAGCGCCUCGUGAACUCAUCUCCGGGGGUAGAGCACUGUUUCGGCAAGGGGGUCAUCCCGACUUACCAACCCGAUGCAAACUGCGAAUACCGGAGAAUGUUAUCACGGGAGACACACGGCGGGUGCUAACGUCCGUCGUGAAGAGGGAAACAACCCAGACCGCCAGCUAAGGUCCCAAAGUCAUGGUUAAGUGGGAAACGAUGUGGGAAGGCCCAGACAGCCAGGAUGUUGGCUUAGAAGCAGCCAUCAUUUAAAGAAAGCGUAAUAGCUCACUGGUCGAGUCGGCCUGCGCGGAAGAUGUAACGGGGCUAAACCAUGCACCGAAGCUGCGGCAGCGACGCUUAUGCGUUGUUGGGUAGGGGAGCGUUCUGUAAGCCUGUGAAGGUGUGCUGUGAGGCAUGCUGGAGGUAUCAGAAGUGCGAAUGCUGACAUAAGUAACGAUAAAGCGGGUGAAAAGCCCGCUCGCCGGAAGACCAAGGGUUCCUGUCCAACGUUAAUCGGGGCAGGGUGAGUCGACCCCUAAGGCGAGGCCGAAAGGCGUAGUCGAUGGGAAACAGGUUAAUAUUCCUGUACUUGGUGUUACUGCGAAGGGGGGACGGAGAAGGCUAUGUUGGCCGGGCGACGGUUGUCCCGGUUUAAGCGUGUAGGCUGGUUUUCCAGGCAAAUCCGGAAAAUCAAGGCUGAGGCGUGAUGACGAGGCACUACGGUGCUGAAGCAACAAAUGCCCUGCUUCCAGGAAAAGCCUCUAAGCAUCAGGUAACAUCAAAUCGUACCCCAAACCGACACAGGUGGUCAGGUAGAGAAUACCAAGGCGCUUGAGAGAACUCGGGUGAAGGAACUAGGCAAAAUGGUGCCGUAACUUCGGGAGAAGGCACGCUGAUAUGUAGGUGAAGUCCCUCGCGGAUGGAGCUGAAAUCAGUCGAAGAUACCAGCUGGCUGCAACUGUUUAUUAAAAACACAGCACUGUGCAAACACGAAAGUGGACGUAUACGGUGUGACGCCUGCCCGGUGCCGGAAGGUUAAUUGAUGGGGUCAGCGCAAGCGAAGCUCUUGAUCGAAGCCCCGGUAAACGGCGGCCGUAACUAUAACGGUCCUAAGGUAGCGAAAUUCCUUGUCGGGUAAGUUCCGACCUGCACGAAUGGCGUAAUGAUGGCCAGGCUGUCUCCACCCGAGACUCAGUGAAAUUGAACUCGCUGUGAAGAUGCAGUGUACCCGCGGCAAGACGGAAAGACCCCGUGAACCUUUACUAUAGCUUGACACUGAACAUUGAGCCUUGAUGUGUAGGAUAGGUGGGAGGCUUAGAAGUGUGGACGCCAGUCUGCAUGGAGCCGACCUUGAAAUACCACCCUUUAAUGUUUGAUGUUCUAACGUUGACCCGUGAUCCGGGUUGCGGACAGUGUCUGGUGGGUAGUUUGACUGGGGCGGUCUCCUCCUAAAGAGUAACGGAGGAGCACGAAGGUUGGCUAAUCCUGGUCGGACAUCAGGAGGUUAGUGCAAUGGCAUAAGCCAGCUUGACUGCGAGCGUGACGGCGCGAGCAGGUGCGAAAGCAGGUCAUAGUGAUCCGGUGGUUCUGAAUGGAAGGGCCAUCGCUCAACGGAUAAAAGGUACUCCGGGGAUAACAGGCUGAUACCGCCCAAGAGUUCAUAUCGACGGCGGUGUUUGGCACCUCGAUGUCGGCUCAUCACAUCCUGGGGCUGAAGUAGGUCCCAAGGGUAUGGCUGUUCGCCAUUUAAAGUGGUACGCGAGCUGGGUUUAGAACGUCGUGAGACAGUUCGGUCCCUAUCUGCCGUGGGCGCUGGAGAACUGAGGGGGGCUGCUCCUAGUACGAGAGGACCGGAGUGGACGCAUCACUGGUGUUCGGGUUGUCAUGCCAAUGGCACUGCCCGGUAGCUAAAUGCGGAAGAGAUAAGUGCUGAAAGCAUCUAAGCACGAAACUUGCCCCGAGAUGAGUUCUCCCUGACCCUUUAAGGGUCCUGAAGGAACGUUGAAGACGACGACGUUGAUAGGCCGGGUGUGUAAGCGCAGCGAUGCGUUGAGCUAACCGGUACUAAUGAACCGUGAGGCUUAACCUUACAACGCCGAAGCUGUU